RNAcentral lists this ribosomal RNA (205 nucleotides) under uncultured bacterium. RNAcentral's name for it is "partial 16S ribosomal RNA". It matches the Rfam family "Bacterial small subunit ribosomal RNA", at positions 1296 to 1500 of the family's 1533-position model. The record is from RNAcentral.
GAUUGCAGGCUGCAACUCGCCUGCAUGAAGCUGGAAUUGCUAGUAAUCGCGGAUCAGCAAGCCGCGGUGAAUACGUUCCCGGGCCUUGUACACACCGCCCGUCACACCAUGAGAGUCGGGAACACCCGAAGUCCGUAGUCUAACCGCAAGGGGGGCGCGGCCGAAGGUGGGUCCGGUAAUUGGGGUGAAGUCGUAACAAGGUAAC